ACGGAAGGCAGCAGUGGGGAAUAUUGCACAAUGGGCGAAAGCCUGAUGCAGCAACGCCGCGUGAGUGAUGAAGGCCUUCGGGUCGUAAAACUCUGUCCUCAAGGAAGAUAAUGACGGUACUUGAGGAGGAAGCCCCGGCUAACUACGUGCCAGCAGCCGCGGUAAUACGUAGGGGGCUAGCGUUAUCCGGAUUUACUGGGCGUAAAGGGUGCGUAGGUGGUUUCUUAAGUCAGGAGUGAAAGGCUACGGCUCAACCGUAGUAAGCUCUUGAAACUGGGAAACUUGAGUGCAGGAGAGGAAAGUGGAAUUCCUAGUGUAGCGGUGAAAUGCGUAGAUAUUAGGAGGAACACCAGUAGCGAAGGCGGCUUUCUGGACUGUAACUGACACUGAGGCACGAAAGCGUGGGGAGCAAACAGGAUUAGAUACCCUGGUA
RNAcentral lists this ribosomal RNA (433 nucleotides) under uncultured Tissierellia bacterium. RNAcentral's name for it is "bacterial SSU rRNA". It matches the Rfam family "Bacterial small subunit ribosomal RNA", at positions 341 to 792 of the family's 1533-position model. RNAcentral also lists the same sequence under 1 other name. The record is from RNAcentral. Lineage: Bacteria; Bacillati; Bacillota; Tissierellia.